CUUUAGGUGACACUAAGCCGGUAUGGAGAGUGUUUUAUAAAUUGCCACUUAGAAAUAGAGCAGGUGAUUUACAGUGGAAAAGUUUACAUGGAGCUGUGGGGGUCAAUGUUUUAAUCUCUAAGAUGUCCAACAAGCAGUUGAUGCAGUAUCAUGACCUUCCCAUCAUAUGACUGGUACACAGCACGAAAGCUCCACAUGGGACGCUCUUGGAUAAGGCAAGGUUGACCCUACAAUGGUUACAGCAGAAAAUGGUGAAGGUUAUGGUGCGGCCAUCACAGUCUCCUGACCUAAAUAUCAUUGAGCCUUUUUGGAGGAUCUCAAACGUGCAGUUUGUGCAAGACAGACCAAAAGAUUUACAGGAACUGGAGCCAUUUUGCCAAGAGGAAUGGCCAGCUAUACUACCUGAGAGAAUUAUGGACCUCAAUUAUUACAAAAGACUGCAUGCCAUCAUUAAUGCUAAAAAGGGCAAUACACAAUAUUAAGAACUAAAUGUAUGCAAACUUUUGAACAUUGAUUAUUUUCUUAUUUUCUUUUUGGUUAUGUUUUGUUUGAUGACUGUGCCAUUUUGUUAUGUCUUACAU
Long non-coding RNA from Tachysurus fulvidraco (yellow catfish), 581 nucleotides. RefSeq lists it as uncharacterized. NCBI's taxonomy places the organism in Eukaryota, Metazoa, Chordata, Actinopteri, Siluriformes, Bagridae. The record is from RefSeq and is a predicted model, not a curated record. The transcript has 3 exons.